RNAcentral lists this ribosomal RNA (776 nucleotides) under uncultured Neocallimastigales. RNAcentral describes it as "partial large subunit ribosomal RNA". It matches the Rfam family "Eukaryotic large subunit ribosomal RNA", at positions 23 to 639 of the family's 3401-position model. The record is from RNAcentral. Lineage: Eukaryota; Fungi; Neocallimastigomycota; Neocallimastigomycetes; Neocallimastigales.
GAGAUGUGUGAUGACGCAUAUCAAUAAGCGGAGGAAAAGAAACUAACUAGGAUUCCCUUAGUAACGGCGAGUGAAGCGGGAAGAGCUCAAAUUUGAAAUCUUCAAGGUUCUACCUUGACGAAUUGUAGUUUAUAAGAAGUGUUUUCUGUUAGUAGAGUUGGCUAAAAGUUCUUUGGAAUAGGACAUCAUAGAGGGUGAGAAUCCCGUACUUGACCAUUCUUUCUAACUUUGUGAUACACUUUCAACGAGUCGGAUUGUUUGGGAAUGCAGUCCAAAAUGGGUGGUAAAUUUCAUCUAAAGCUAAAUAUUGGCGAGAGACCGAUAGCGAACAAGUACCGUGAGGGAAAGAUGAAAAGAACUUUGAAAAGAGAGUUAAACAGUACGUGAAAUUGUCAAAAGGGAAGCGUUUGACACCAGUGUUGUUUUUCCGAAAAUCAAUUACGAAUGUUUUGUUUUUAAGAAGUUAUAACUUCAUCGGCUUGCUUCUUUCUUUACGAAACUUUCUUAAUGCACUUUUCGGUUAACAAGUCAACAUCAAUUUCUUUUGUUGUAAAAGGGUACGAGGAAGGUGGCUUUCUUUUCGGAGAAAGUGUUUAUAGCCUUGUACCUCUGCAAUCGGAGAGAUUGAGGUCUGCAGCGUAGAUCCUUCGGGGUUAGAUACAUUUGUGCUAAGUUAUAGCUUUUCAUAGACAACUUGUUGACUAUGUUAAGUCUUGUAGCUUACUCGCUUAUGCUAUUUUACCUACGCUUAGGAUGUUGAAGAUGUAGCACAUCAU